Molecule: ribosomal RNA, 490 nt
Filed under: uncultured bacterium
Lineage: Bacteria
Description: partial 16S ribosomal RNA
Rfam family: Bacterial small subunit ribosomal RNA
Source: RNAcentral
AUUGAACGCUGGCGGCAGGCUUAACACAUGCAAGUCGAGCGGUAGCACAGGGGCUCUUGCUCCCUGGGUGACGAGCGGCGGACGGGUGAGUAAUGUCUGGGAAACUGCCUGAUGGAGGGGGAUAACUACUGGAAACGGUAUCUAAUACCGCAUAACGUCGCAAGACCAAAGAGGGGGACCUUCGGGCCUCUUGCCAUCAGAUGUGCCCAGAUGGGAUUAGCUAGUAGGUGGGGUAAUGGCUCACCUAGGCGACGAUCCCUAGCCGGUCUGAGAGGAUGACCAGCCACACUGGAACUGAGACACGGUCCAGACUCCUACGGGAGGCAGCAGUGGGGAAUAUUGCACAAUGGGCGAAAGCCUGAUGCAGCCAUGCCGCGUGUGUGAAGAAGGCCUUCGGGUUGUAAAGCACUUUCAGCGGGGAGGAAGGUGGUGAGCUUAAUACGUUCAUCAAUUGACGUUACUCGCAGAAGAAGCACCGGCUAACUCCGUG